This 144-nucleotide small nuclear RNA is filed under the name Nomascus leucogenys (northern white-cheeked gibbon). RNAcentral describes it as "U2 spliceosomal RNA". It matches the Rfam family "U2 spliceosomal RNA". From Rfam's summary of the family: U2 is a small nuclear RNA (snRNA) component of the spliceosome (involved in pre-mRNA splicing). Complementary binding between U2 snRNA (in an area lying towards the 5' end but 3' to hairpin I) and the branchpoint sequence (BPS) of the intron results the bulging out of an unpaired adenosine, on the BPS, which initiates a nucleophilic attack at the intronic 5' splice site, thus starting the first of two transesterification reactions that mediate splicing. The record is from Rfam by way of RNAcentral. Lineage: Eukaryota; Metazoa; Chordata; Mammalia; Primates; Hylobatidae.
AUCACUUCUCAGCCUUUUGGCUAAGAUCAAGAGUAGUAUCAGUUCUUACCAGUUAUUUUUUUUUUUUCUUUUGAGACAGAGUCUCGCCAUGUUGCCCAGGCUGGAGUGCAGUGAAUGGCGCAAUCUCGGCUCACUGCAACCUCC